UGUAAUCUGGUUCCCUCUGGAUUUC
RNAcentral lists this non-coding RNA (25 nucleotides) under Rattus norvegicus (Norway rat). Lineage: Eukaryota; Metazoa; Chordata; Mammalia; Rodentia; Muridae. The record is from RNAcentral.